GACGAACGCUGGCGGCGUGCUUAACACAUGCAAGUCGAACGGAAAGGCCCUGCUUUUGUGGGGUGCUCGAGUGGCGAACGGGUGAGUAACACGUGAGUAACCUGCCCUUGACUUUGGGAUAACUUCAGGAAACUGGGGCUAAUACCGGAUAGGAGCUCCUGCUGCAUGGUGGGGGUUGGAAAGUUUCGGCGGUUGUGGAUGGACUCGCGGCUUAUCAGCUUGUUGGUGGGGUAGUGGCUUACCAAGGCUUUGACGGGUAGCCGGCCUGAGAGGGUGACCGGCCACAUUGGGACUGAGAUACGGCCCAGACUCCUACGGGAGGCAGAAGUGGGGAAUAUUGCACAAUGGGCGGAAGCCUGAUGCAGCAACGCCGCGUGCGGGAUGACGGCCUUCGGGUUGUAAACCGCUUUCGCCUGUGACGAAGCGUGAGUGACGGUAAUAGGUAAAGAAGCACCGGCUAACUACGUG
RNAcentral lists this ribosomal RNA (468 nucleotides) under uncultured bacterium. RNAcentral's name for it is "partial 16S ribosomal RNA". It matches the Rfam family "Bacterial small subunit ribosomal RNA", at positions 28 to 507 of the family's 1533-position model. The record is from RNAcentral.